CAGAGUUGCAAAACUCCCUAAACCAUUGUGAACCUACCUUCUAACCGUUGCUUCGGCGGGCGGGCCCAGCGCCCCCCCGGCCCCUCGCGGGCGCCCGCCGGAGGAUACCCAAACCAUUGACUAUUAGUGGCCUCUCUGAGUCUUCUGUACUGAAUAAGUCA
RNAcentral lists this unclassified non-coding RNA (161 nucleotides) under soil metagenome. RNAcentral describes it as "partial internal transcribed spacer 1". The record is from RNAcentral.